AAGACUAUAGACCUGCGGAGUACCUGCGGAGGGAUCAUUAUCGUAUCUAUGAUGGGGUGCGGAGCGCCCUGCUCCGGUCGAACGGCCGUGCAGCGGGUGCGCCGCCCCCGUCCCACCUCACAAACCCACUGUGAACAUUCACCGGUGGAGGGGGCUCGGUCUGCGCCGUGUCCCCGAUGCCGAAUACCCAAACUCCAGUUGCAAAGAACGUCGUGCGGACUCGGUGCCGCCUAAAACAUG
This 240-nucleotide unclassified non-coding RNA is filed under the name soil metagenome. Its description in RNAcentral is "partial contains 5.8S ribosomal RNA, internal transcribed spacer 2, and large subunit ribosomal RNA". The record is from RNAcentral.